GAUAAGGUGGCAGAGCCCGGUAAUUGCGAAAGGCCUAAGCCCUUUUUCUCAGAGGUUCAAGCCCUCUCCUUAGCUAUGAUCACGACCCUAAUCAC
This 95-nucleotide transfer RNA is filed under the name Coregonus pidschian (humpback whitefish). RNAcentral describes it as "tRNA-Leu". The stretch from base 1 to 75 matches the Rfam family "tRNA". From Rfam's summary of the family: Transfer RNA (tRNA) molecules are approximately 80 nucleotides in length. Their secondary structure includes four short double-helical elements and three loops (D, anti-codon, and T loops). Further hydrogen bonds mediate the characteristic L-shaped molecular structure. tRNAs have two regions of fundamental functional importance: the anti-codon, which is responsible for specific mRNA codon recognition, and the 3' end, to which the tRNAs corresponding amino acid is attached (by aminoacyl-tRNA synthetases). tRNAs cope with the degeneracy of the genetic code in two manners: having more than one tRNA (with a specific anti-codon) for a particular amino acid; and 'wobble' base-pairing, i.e. permitting non-standard base-pairing at the 3rd anti-codon position. The record is from RNAcentral. Lineage: Eukaryota; Metazoa; Chordata; Actinopteri; Salmoniformes; Salmonidae.